AAAAAAUUUCAGUUCUGCUUAAGUAAGAAUCGUUACACUUAUACGAAUCAGCCGCCAAUCCUCGGAUGCUUUUAAAUUAAGUAAAAAUGUGCCUAAGAAGCCGUCUUUCCUGAAGAGGGAUCUGGAUGAACGAGCGCAUUCGAAAACAUACAGGCUUUAGUUUAGAUUGCCAGGAACGAGAAAUUGGAUGUUACCAUUAAUGCCACCUUAUGGACUGACUCCGUACAGCAAAAGAUACGUCUGAGGAAAGAUAUAUUUGUUUCAAAAUUAUCUUUGUUUCCAAAGUAGGAUGAGAAGACAGGUUUGUUUAUUUACACCUCUGAGGGAAGUAACACUGAUCGUCGAGUCGGCGGAAAAUCAGUCCAGCGU
Molecule: long non-coding RNA, 369 nt
Organism: Wasmannia auropunctata (little fire ant)
Lineage: Eukaryota; Metazoa; Arthropoda; Insecta; Hymenoptera; Formicidae
Exons: 3
Source: RefSeq, a predicted model, not a curated record